AGAAGACCAUAAAUCUUUGGAUUUAUUUUCGAAAAGAUUUAUUCUCGAAAUGAAUUUAAGAUUGGCAGCAUGGAGGACAGAGCAACAACGUUAUUUACAUAUCGAGAACGCGAUCUUCUCGUUCCCUCAUCAAUGUCUCAGGUACGCGAUCGCUAAUCAUCGAAGCAGCCUCGAUACGCCGCAGUCGUCACCUCUGAAUUUACCAAUCAACUUAUCGUAGGGCCGAUCGUUUAAUUGACGUUACCAGGAGAAAGUGUUAAUCUGGCGGUGUUAAACAGAUGUCCGACCGAUACGCAUCUUUAAUUUCGCCUCUGGUCCGGUUUUAAUUGGACACGAUGAGAUACGCUUGUGGUCUCGUUAUACUUGAACGGGUUUACUUUGUUAAAUAUCCUUGCCCGUUCCAUUGUUUCAGCGGUAAUAAUAUCGUAUCUGAUAAUAGUUCGAAUCGAGAUCACGUAGAGUCGAGAGCCAGAUCUCUCUCUCUCUCUCUUUCUCUUUCUCUCUCUCUUUCUUUUCCCUUCAUCAUUUUCUACAGUUACGCCUAAUCAAAUCACUUUGUCGAUAGAAAGUGUCAAGUAAAAGGAAGGAGAAAGCGUUGCCAUUGGUUUGCAUCCGCUCUUGCAUUGUGUGUUAUUACUACGCCCACGUGGACCGUGGAUCGUGAAAUUGUAACGGUUUCGUCUGUACCGUGUAUUUUGAGAAGGAUAAUGAAUUUGAUUAUUUGAAAUGGGGACGAUUGGAACGAAAAAAGUUUGGAAAAUUAUUUAUUCGAUUGUUCGUUUAUGCUAUAAUUUGUAUCAAACUCGAAUUAUUCUAUUUUUAAUGUACUUUAAAUUAAUAUACUUUAAAUAGUCUUCCAAUUUAUUUUAAAUAAUAUUUUUGAAGUAAAAUUAGAUAGAUAUUUGAAGUGAAAUAGUAGAUGGUGGGUAUAAUUUAUUGCGAGUAUUUCAAAUAUUUUAAGAUAAAAUUUAUUAUCCAUGAAAUACUGUGUUUCACUUUCGUCAUCACGUUAGAAUUAGAUGCAGAACACAGAAUAAAUUUAUCAAAGUAAAAUAGUUUCAGGGAAGUUAAAUAGCGUUUUAAGGAUCCGAAAGAAAGAAAUACUUUUGAAACAGGAAACAUAAAUUCUCGUAUGCACUUAAGGCAGGAACGAAGAUUCGUAAUUCUGAUUGCAUCAGGAAAAUUAUACGAUUUUUAUUUCGGUUGAUCGAGAAUCUCUGAUGCAACGUGAAAGUAUGGGCGAAACCGAGCAUCCAUAUUCCUUUAUUGGCCACGUCGAACGGUACUAAACAAUAAUAAUUCUCAAUCUCGAAGUGUACGAAUGUUUUAUAAUGAACUUUAUAUAACAAUAUUCGUAUCCGAAAGAGGGAUAUAUAAGGCAAGGAAAGAAAUGAAGAUUAUUUUAAACGAAUUGAUAUCGAUCGAGAAGGGGCCACAGCAAUCAGAAAAUCCAUCAAAAAUCAAUCAAGGAAAUCGGUGAUCACUAUUAUUACUUUUGCAGCGAACGUUGAUAGGUUCAAGGGAUCGUUGUUCGUUCUAUAAUUCCGUUACUCAAAUUAGAAUCAGUUACGAAUGAGGAGUAAAAGAUUAUAGAAUACAACAAAUGAAGAUAAUAAUAAAUUAUUGCUUCCAUAAUUUCUCUUAUUUAAAUAAAUCGAUAAUUUUUUAUUUUUUUAUAUAUUAUUAAAAAAGCCAAAAGUGGUGAAGGGAUUGCGUGCCACAUAUCAUGGAAACUGAAAAACAAGGAAAUGGUGCAUGAUUUCAAAAAAAAAAGAUAAACAAUCUGUGCAUGGUUUCACGGAGAGAUCAUCGAUAAAUACAGAGCAGUAGUUUUGCAGCUUUCAAAACAGGAUCCGAUAAAUCUUUUUCAUUCGAGCAUCAAUGUAGGAAAAUGGGUCAUCGCGGUGCACGAGGAGUUCUCCACCGCGGAGCGGAUCGGCGGAGGCCGCGUGCGGGGAGGGGAGAGGACGUUAUUUCUAUUCCACGGAGGAACUGGUUCUCCGCCACGUUGGAAGAGGAGAGCGCGCGCCGCGCGUGCCACUCGCGUGUGUCACGUGUCCCUACGGUGAGGUGAGAGGCGAAGAGGUAACAGGCGGCGAGGCGAAAUAGAAUGGAAAAGGCUGGCCACGUCACGGACGUGUCAACAUUGAUUUGGGUCAGGAGGAACGGAGAAGCCGAUUCGAACGGUCGAUAAGGAAAGUGGUCGAACGGUAGUCUGUAAUUAACGACGUUAAGGAGAGGAGAUUUUUUUCUGUUUAUGUUCGUUUCCCAUUCGGCCAGCUGCACACGUGAACACGCGUUUCACGCGUGCACGCCUCACCUUCUCCCCUUCUCGCUUUCCUCUCGUGAUAACUUGCAAUUACAUUGAUUGGUUCGCGGAUUUUAACCGAAGACCGGGUAUGUGCGUUCAUAUGAGGGUCAAAGGUGGCCACGAAAGGAAGCAGAGAAGAGUUGGAACGAGAAACGAAAUUUUCGAAUCUGCAAUAGAAAGAAACGGAUGAUCGAGGUGGUUGGAAAGCAAACCGAUCGUGCGAGAGUAUCGGUAAAUAGUAGCCAGAUCGUAAGGAAGAUAAGCGAUGGAUGGUUGAGAUCGGGGAAGAUUAAGAGAGCCCGGUGUUGUAGAUCUGGAGAUAGACGCGUGGAAUUUUCUUUAUCGAUCAGAGUUGUUAAUUGAGGAGAGUUGGAGGAAGAAGAAAUUGAUUAGAAAGUGAAGAAUGGAUUGGGUGUGUGAAGGAAUGAUUUGUGGAUCGAUGUAUCGAUGCUUGACAGUUGUAUAUGUUGGAAUCAGGAUUUUAUACAACUCAAUCGAUGCUAGUUUCCUCGAAUGGUAAAUAUUUUUUCUUCGUUUUUCGCGAUGACGAAGCUCGAUACGAAAGCGUUUGAUUAAAUUAUCGUUUCGAUAUAUCGCAAUUGUCUGGAUGAAACGUUACAACAAAUUACAGAGAACAAUUAUCGAUCGUUUUGUAAUUUUGAAAGUUAAUGAAACAACACCUCAUAUCGAGGGUGAAAUUUAUUAUAUAACGAACUAAUAUGCAUUAUUUAUGACGUAAAAAUAAUACAAUAAUGUUAAUUGUCUUAUACCGUCGAUUAUUAAUUAAUUUAUGCAAUAUCAUAAUGAAACACCAUCACAAUUAUAAUGGAACAAUAAACAGUGGAUCAAUAAGUAUAUACAAAAAUAAUACGUAUAAAUCAAA
Long non-coding RNA from Apis cerana (Asiatic honeybee), 3194 nucleotides. RefSeq lists it as uncharacterized. The record is from RefSeq and is a predicted model, not a curated record. NCBI's taxonomy places the organism in Eukaryota, Metazoa, Arthropoda, Insecta, Hymenoptera, Apidae.